AUUGAACGCUGGCGGCAUGCCUUACACAUGCAAGUCGAACGGUAACAGGAAACAGCUUGCUGUUUCGCUGACGAGUGGCGGACGGGUGAGUAAUGUCUGGGAAACUGCCUGAUGGAGGGGGAUAACUACUGGAAACGGUAGCUAAUACCGCAUAACGUCGCAAGACCAAAGAGGGGGACCCUCGGGCCUCUUGCCAUCGGAUGUGCCCAGAUGGGAUUAGCUUGUUGGUGGGGUAACGGCUCACCAAGGCGACGAUCCCUAGCUGGUCUGAGAGGAUGACCAGCCACACUGGAACUGAGACACGGUCCAGACUCCUACGGGAGGCAGCAGUGGGGAAUAUUGCACAAUGGGCGCAAGCCUGAUGCAGCCAUGCCGCGUGUAUG
Molecule: ribosomal RNA, 383 nt
Filed under: uncultured bacterium
Lineage: Bacteria
Description: bacterial SSU rRNA
Rfam family: Bacterial small subunit ribosomal RNA
Source: RNAcentral